RNAcentral lists this ribosomal RNA (301 nucleotides) under uncultured bacterium. RNAcentral describes it as "partial 16S ribosomal RNA". It matches the Rfam family "Bacterial small subunit ribosomal RNA", at positions 509 to 807 of the family's 1533-position model. The record is from RNAcentral.
CAGUCGCCACGGUAACACGUAGGGUGCAAGCGUUAAUCGGAAUUACUGGGCGUAAAGCGUGCGCAGGCGGUUAUAUAAGACAGAUGUGAAAUCCCCGGGCUCAACCUGGGAACUGCAUUUGUGACUGUAUAGCUAGAGUACGGCAGAGGGGGAUGGAAUUCCGCGUGUAGCAGUGAAAUGCGUAGAUAUGCGGAGGAACACCGAUGGCGAAGGCAAUCCCCUGGGCCUGUACUGACGCUCAUGCACGAAAGCGUGGGGAGCAAACAGGAUUAGAUACCCGUGUAGUCCCUGUCUCUUAUAC